RNAcentral lists this long non-coding RNA (1549 nucleotides) under Citrus x clementina. Its description in RNAcentral is "Citrus clementina (C. clementina) long non-coding RNA (CCLE_LNC006510)". The record is from RNAcentral. Lineage: Eukaryota; Viridiplantae; Streptophyta; Magnoliopsida; Sapindales; Rutaceae.
UAUUGAGGAAUCACCUAUGAAUUUAAAUAAUAAUAUAAGGAAUCAUAAGUAUUCACUUUUAUUCAUUUUCAUAAGCAUAAAGGCUCAAUUUACCCGGUGAAUGAAAAUGUAAAAUGAAAACGGUACAAUUAAAAUGAUUUUAGGAAUUUAAUUAAUUAACAAGAAAUAGACAAUAAAAUAUUUCUGUGAAUUGUUAAAAUUGAGAAAACAUCUUUGGUGUUUAUUGUCCAUAUUUCUAUCUCUACUUUGAUUCUCUUCAUCGUUCCUGAAGCUGGAGAGAGAAAGUUUUGGCCUUUCAGGUUGUAUAUCUACAUAUUGCUAAUCCUUGAUUCUCUUCAACGGUCUUCUUUGAGUCUCAUGCAAUAACUAAGAAGCCAGACGUUUAAAUACUUGUCAAUGAAUUGUUUUAUCUAGAAAUUGAUCGUCUUGUAAUAAAUGAGAAAAUCGAUCAUCAUUUUCCAAAAACCCAUAUACUUCUCCGCAGCUCCUUUAUUAUUAUUAUUCUUGGCUUCUCCCUUUCUAAAUCUUUUGAGAAGUCUAAAAUGGUAAAAAACAAAGUAUAAAGUAAAAACAGUAAACCUAUAAUCAAAGAGUGAGCUUUCCAACUUCUGUCAUUGAGAAUUUUGAUCUCGGUCAUGCCCCAUAUGCAUAUAACACAAUCGAAUCUGGCUAAUUUCACUUGAAAAAAAGAGGUAAGAAUUUCAGUAAAAUAAUUGUUAAUUUCCACUCCUUCAUUUAAAAACACCAAAUGCGACGAGAGAAUCCACAUGGCAAUCACUUUCUUCCAGUUCUACUCAUCGGGACCUUUCCAUCAGGAAUGUUACAAUAACUUUUUAAUCAGUUUAAAAAAAAAAAUUGACAAGCUGGAAAGGACAACUUGCGCCAAUGUUCUUUUCUUUUCUAAUAAUAUUAAGCAAAAGCACCAAUAUCAGUCAGUCAAGAUCCUCGACGUGAUUGAUCUUAUUAUUCAAAAAUUUGUCUACCACGUCAAUGAUGACGUACUUAAUGGAAGGUUUGGUUAGAUAUUGAUUAAUUAGUGUAAAAUAAAAGCCAUGUGAUCUAAGUACAAUGUAAUGUCUCAAUGCAGAGAAUGUUAGGUACAGAAAUAUAAAGCCAAAGGAACACGAGAAGAAGCGGCUAAUCAAAAUUAAUUAAGACCUAAUACGUAUGAACCCCCACCCCACGUGGCAUUAGGGAGAAAGAUUAAUGGGUUCUUGGAAAAGGGAAAUAAUUUUAGAUGAGCCUAAUCGAGAUAUUUCAAAGAAGAAUCGGGAUUUCCUUGAAUACAAUGCGCGCCUUGGCUUAAUGGACCGUUAUUAGUUUUUAAUCUUCCACAUAAGAAGAGGAAGUCGGGAUUAAGAAGCCAUUAAUCUUUUUACCAAACAUUUUCGGUUCAUAUGUUAAAAAAAAAAAAAUUAUCAGCUCCCCUACUGAAAUUUAUAUAUACCAUUUAUCCUUUACUGUUUUGCUAAUAAUCAAUAACCCCAUUAGCACAUAAAAAUUUUAAGAAAAAGAUAGAUAAAUUGAUCAUUUACUUGCUUGAUAUUUG